GGGAUGACUGGGAGGAAGAGGAGGAUGACCUGGACCGGUCUCGCGCUCUCCGGUGCUUCCUACGAAAACAGAAGAGCCAGGGAUUUAAAUCACCAAGCUCCAGGGUACAGCCCUUGGCUGGGGACUCACUGGAAGAAUACUACUGGCCUAAUUUAGGCCUGUUCUAGAGACUGAACAAACAAUAUGCUUCAACACUUCACAAUGACAUAGCAGAGCCAAACUGAACACCCAUCUCCCAGGAGGCCUUCUCUGGACAAGGAUCAUACCGCUACUUUGAUGCAGAAGUUGUUUUCAAGCCAGGGACCUUACUUGACAGUUACAGGAUAUCAAAGAACAAACUGCUAUCAUCCCUAACCCUAAAUGAAACUCUGGUAUAGAGCCCAGAGGAGCAGACAAGAGACCCCACUCAGAAGUCUCAAUGAGGGAACAGGGGCUUACGUACUUCUGCUUCUUUGAUCCUUUGUGAGUUUUCUCUGUUUUCUCAGCUGAUCUUUCCCUCGAGUGGCUUGAGUCUCGGGAAUCCACUGAUUCUCUUGAUUUACCUCGUUUAAGAUCUCUCUCCUUAUGUUUUUUACGACGUUCAAUAUCAAGGCGGAGAUCAACAGGAUCAUCUUUGUAUUUUCCCUCAGUCUGCCAAGAGAGAAAUCAAAAUGAAGGUUUUUGGGAUUCAGGGCUGCCAACUCAACCACCCCACAAACUGUGGUUUCCACUCCAAUGGAGUGGUACAGAGGAAGCACUGGGAGUGUGAGGCACUGCACCCAAGCUUGGGAGGGAUACAGGACGUCCCACAGAAGUCCCUUCCUGAGGGUCCCUCACAGAACCCAAACCAGUUCUCUGAAAUAAUGAUGUCUACCUUCCGAAAAUGCUGAACAUCGAUUUCGCCUUGUUUGCUUCCUCUAUGGCCCAGUAAUGACUCUGGCUAGCCUACAAGCUGAGAAGGCCAAAUUCCGCUUUAGAGGGUGGCUGGUUAGGCUGGCUCAGGCCUAUAGUCACCACCAAGAGCGGAAAUGCCUGUGUCGUGUUGUCCUUUCCUACCUAUGCUGUGGCAGCCACCAUGGGUUUAUGCUUUCCUUGGAACUGGCUCUGAGCAUGCAGCCCAGCAACAGAGCAUGGGACACUUCAGCAACCUUCCAAAAUGCUUAGUUACAAUGAGAAACAGCUUUAGAGAGGGAACAUCAAAAACCAUAAUGGAAAAUUCAUGAAGUGACAAUACCAGGUCGAAAUUUGUUUUAAAAAAGAAAAAAGCAGCAGCAGAAAAAGAAAGCAAAACCCCGUUUUUGCUGACUUCCUAGGAAGUCGAAGCCUCAGGGCACAUGCACCGCAGAUGGACAGCAGUAGCACUGUGCGUCCCAAACCAGGGCAAAGGCUUUCAACAGCUCUUGGGACGCUCAGAGCAGAGGGCAAGGUGGAUUCAGGAUCAUGAAGCACCAGGAUUUGCCUCAUGGGAAGUAAAACUUCCC
This is a long non-coding RNA of Felis catus (domestic cat), 1460 nucleotides long. RefSeq lists it as uncharacterized. The transcript has 3 exons. Lineage: Eukaryota; Metazoa; Chordata; Mammalia; Carnivora; Felidae. The record is from RefSeq and is a predicted model, not a curated record.